This 1595-nucleotide unclassified non-coding RNA is filed under the name Bombus terrestris (buff-tailed bumblebee). RNAcentral's name for it is "misc RNA ENSBTSG00005036630.1". Lineage: Eukaryota; Metazoa; Arthropoda; Insecta; Hymenoptera; Apidae. The record is from RNAcentral.
AAAUUAGGGAAAAAAAAGCAAACAGAGAGAGAGAAAUAUAAAUGAGAAAAUUUGAUUACUUCAAACAAGUUGAAGGUGAGGUUAUCGACAUCCAUGUAAUGUGCAGGAAAAAGGUCUGAAAAAAGGUUGAAACGAACAGAUGUUUAAAUAAAUCAUUGAAGAUUCAUAAAUUUUACGUGAAGUUUACCAUAAGACAGUUUCUACCACAUUCAACCUUUGCAAGGUUAGAAUUGACACCAUAUUCUCGAUAGAUCAAAUUGUCGAGUUGUUCAAUCAUACUUACCAUUUUUUCAGGUAGAAUGCUUCUCAACUUUCCAUUCAUGAAUAUCCUUUCUCUUUUUUAUUGUUUUAACAUCGAAUCAUGUCAUUUAUUUUCUUGCAGGUCAAAUUUCGCCUUAAAAUUGCGAAUAUUUCUUCUUAAUCAAGGAGAAACUACGAGGAUCGGACUAAAAAUACAAAUUUUUAAAACCGAAGAAGAUAAUCAACUAGAGAUAUUAGUGUACCAUUCGAUCUCUUUAUUAGCCAGCUGUAAUGUUUGAGUAUAAUAUUUACUGAACAUGGUUUAUACUCUAACUUUCGGUAACUUCGGUAUACGCUGACUGCUGUAGUUUUGUGAUAAGGAUUCGUGAAUGAUAAAUGAACAGGUAUUGUAACAUUUUUAUAAAGAUCAAAGGCCAACCUAUAAGUAACAUAUCGAUAUGUAAUUAUAAAAUAAAAUAUAUUAUAAAAUAUACUUUUAUUUUUUAAGCUUAUAACACUUUCUUAUUCUUUCUCUUCUUUUUUUUCUUUUUCUAAAUUUUACCUUAUUUUCAUUGUUUCUUCUGUAACGCUAUGAACAGCGUAAAGCACUCCUCCAGCAAUGAACAUUUCUCCAAAUUUAUGAUUAUCUAUACUAAUGUUCCAUGCAUGUUGAAUAUUCAUAUUAGUCGCAUCCAUCUUUAUUACUAUUGUAUUAUUCGAUGGUAAGCCGUAUAUUAUCCAUAACCCUGUUGUUAAAAUAAUGUACGUCUUAUUUGCUAUUUUUAUUUAAAGAGAAAUAUUUCUUUUAAACAAAUUACGAUAUAAUUACCAUUCUCAUCAACAUUGAAGUCAACAUAAUUAAAAUUAUGAUUCGGUGUAUAUAAAUAAUUCCUCGUGUUCACUAAUAAACCUGGAAGAUGUAAUUCACACCGCGAAGACUCCUUGCCACAUACUUGAUCAGAAAUAGAAUGAAGAUUAAAUCGAAAAAUUGAUGAUCGGUUUAUGGGAUUAUAAAAGAAAGAUUUGUUAUACACUACAUGCCCAUUUCCCUAAAAAUGAAUUUAACAUGAGAUAAUAAUACAUAAUUUUAAAAAUAGUAUGAUAUACCUGAAAUGGAUAUGGCAAUUUAAUGGGAUAUGAACUCCCAUGUUUAAAAUGAUCCUUUGAAUCAUAUUCAAAUAUGAAAGAAGUUUCAUUCUUUCGGGUAACCCAAAGUUUCUCUGGAUAACCAUCAGAUUUAGUGUCAUGCAUCCAGCUUCCGUAAUGAUCAUCCAUAGUACCCUUUAAAACUGGUUUUCCUACUGCUUCUAUUACACCAUCUACAGAAUUAAAUAAAAUUAAUAUCUCGUUAAUUU